Molecule: ribosomal RNA, 173 nt
Filed under: Salimicrobium halophilum
Lineage: Bacteria; Bacillati; Bacillota; Bacilli; Caryophanales; Bacillaceae
Description: partial 16S rRNA. Bacterial SSU
Rfam family: Bacterial small subunit ribosomal RNA
Source: RNAcentral
CUCUUAUGGAGAGUUUGAUCCUGGCUCAGGACGAACGCUGGCGGCGUGCCUAAUACAUGCAAGUCGAGCGCGGGAAGCGAGCUGAAGCCCUUCGGGGCGGACGCUCGUGGAACGAGCGGCGGACGGGUGAGUAACACGUGGGCAACCUACCUGUAAGACCGGAAUAACCCCGG